AGCUGGCUAGCUCUAAGAUCGCCGAUUCACCUGGCUGCGUCGAUAGAACUAUGGAAGCAGUACGAGAGACGGAUCAAGAAUUUUUAAUUUAUGAGUUCUGGAUGUUGGAAUAAAUCCGACUAUAAAACUGUAACCUUCAUAUCGAAUUAUUUGGAACAAUAACAUAAGCGGAAGCGUACCUGAAUCCAUAGGUGGAAGCUCCUUGAUCCGGCUUGGAAAUC
RNAcentral lists this long non-coding RNA (221 nucleotides) under Nicotiana benthamiana. Its description in RNAcentral is "long non-coding RNA (NBEN_LNC009450)". Lineage: Eukaryota; Viridiplantae; Streptophyta; Magnoliopsida; Solanales; Solanaceae. The record is from RNAcentral.